CAGAAGAUAGUUUAAGUGUAAAAUGCCAGCUUUGGGAGCUGGCGAUGGAGGUUUAAGUCCUCUUUUUCUGA
Molecule: transfer RNA, 71 nt
Filed under: Micrastur gilvicollis
Lineage: Eukaryota; Metazoa; Chordata; Aves; Falconiformes; Falconidae
Description: tRNA-Pro
Rfam family: tRNA
About the family: Transfer RNA (tRNA) molecules are approximately 80 nucleotides in length. Their secondary structure includes four short double-helical elements and three loops (D, anti-codon, and T loops).
Source: RNAcentral